GACGAACGCUGGCGGCGUGCCUAAUACAUGCAAGUCGAACGCUUUUUCUUUCACCGGAGCUUGCUCCACCGAAAGAAAAAGAGUGGCGAACGGGUGAGUAACACGUGGGUAACCUGCCCAUCAGAAGGGGAUAACACUUGGAAACAGGUGCUAAUACCGUAUAACACUAUUUUCCGCAUGGAAGAAAGUUGAAAGGCGCUUUUGCGUCACUGAUGGAUGGACCCGGGGUGCAUUAGCUAGUUGGUGAGGUAACGGCUCACCAAGGCAACGAUGCAUAGCCGACCUGAGAGGGUGAUCGGCCACACUGGGACUAAGACACGGCCCAGACUCCUACGGGAGGCAGCAGUAGGGAAUCUUCGGCAAUGGACGAAAGUCUGACCGAGCAACGCCGCGUGAGUGAAGAAGGUUUUCGGAUCGUAAAACUCUGUUGUUAGAGAAGAACAAGGAUGAGAGUAGAACGUUCAUCCCUUGACGGUAUCUAACCAGAAAGCCACGGCUAACUACGUGCCAGCCGCCGCGGUAA
Molecule: ribosomal RNA, 523 nt
Filed under: uncultured bacterium
Lineage: Bacteria
Description: partial 16S ribosomal RNA
Rfam family: Bacterial small subunit ribosomal RNA
Source: RNAcentral